UGCAUCUAGAUUAGAGUUUGAUCCUGGCUCAGAUUGAACGCUGGCGGCAGGCCUAACACAUGCAAGUCGAGCGGAUGAGGGUAGCUUGCUACCUGAUUCAGCGGCGGACGGGUGAGUAAUGCCUAGGAAUCUGCCCGAUAGUGGGGGAUAACGUUCCGAAAGGAACGCUAAUACCGCAUACGUCCUACGGGAGAAAGCGGGGGAUCUUCGGACCUCGCGCUAUCGGAUGAGCCUAGGUCGGAUUAGCUAGUUGGUGAGGUAAAGGCUCACCAAGGCGACGAUCCGUAGCUGGUCUGAGAGGAUGAUCAGCCACACUGGAACUGAGACACGGUCCAGACUCCUACGGGAGGCAGCAGUGGGGAAUAUUGGACAAUGGGCGAAAGCCUGAUCCAGCCAUGCCGCGUGUGUGAAGAAGGUCUUCGGAUUGUAAAGCACUUUAAGUUGGGAGGAAGGGUUGUAACCUAAUACGUUGCAACUUUGACGUUACCGACAGAAUAAGCACCGGCUAACUUCGUGCCAGCAGCCGCGGUAAUACGAAGGGUGCAAGCGUUAAUCGGAAUUACUGGGCGUAAAGCGCGCGUAGGUGGUUUGAUAAGUUGGAUGUGAAAGCCCCGGGCUCAACCUGGGAAUUGCAUCCAAAACUGUCUGACUAGAGUACGGUAGAGGGUAGUGGAAUUUCCUGUGUAGCGGUGAAAUGCGUAGAUUUAGGAAGGAACACCAGUGGCGAAGGCGACUACCUGGACUGAUACUGACCCUGAGGUGCGAAAGCGUGGGGGAGCAAACGGGAUUAAAUACCCUGGUAAUCCACCCCGUAAACGAUGUCAA
RNAcentral lists this ribosomal RNA (825 nucleotides) under uncultured Pseudomonas sp. RNAcentral's name for it is "bacterial SSU rRNA". It matches the Rfam family "Bacterial small subunit ribosomal RNA", at positions 1 to 815 of the family's 1533-position model. The record is from RNAcentral. Lineage: Bacteria; Pseudomonadati; Pseudomonadota; Gammaproteobacteria; Pseudomonadales; Pseudomonadaceae.